GAGUGGCCUUUUAUUGGGGAACAAGAAAUUCAAGGGAAAAUUCCAUCCGAUGAAGGUGGAGGGGGACAGCAUUCCAAGGUCAGGGUCAGUGAUUGGUCUCAGGGUCAAUGGUCGGUCACACCCCCACAGGGAUGGGCUCUCCCACCUAAAAAGGGUGGGGAUUAGUUCUGACACAGCUUGGCCGGAAAGCCUCACACCCAGGCAGGGAGGUGCCCAAUCACGUGCGAGAACGGCUUCCCACACAUUGAGAUAACACUGAGGUGGUGAAGACAACUGCUCCUUUCUAUCGUCUGGAAGAGAGUGCAUGAAUCUGGGAUGGCUCACUUCUUGACAGGCUGAUAGAUGUCAAGGGCUCACUCCAUUUUCCUAGAUGAGUCAUUUUAUGUGUUGUUCAGUGAGCUUUUUCCUGGGGACAUGUUAGUUUUUUGACAAAGGUCAUGUGUGUGUGCAUUCUGCAGUCUCUGUACUAGUUUAGAGAGUUUACUUCCCCUUUUAUACUCCUGGUAGAGUGCCCAGUGACUUCUCUCUUUUUCUCUAGGUAGAUCUCACUGUCUUCUUAUUUAUUAUCAGUUUCAGAGAACCAACUUUUGGGAUGCUUGACUUUCUCACUGCACCUUUGUUUUCUACCUGGUUUGGUUUUGCUCUCAUUUUCUCAGCCCCUGCCUUCUGCUUCCUUCCGUUCAUUCUGAUGUGCGUCACUAAUUUUUAAGCGGAAUACUUAGCUUGUUAACUUAUAGCUCUUUCUUCUUUAUGAAAGUAGUUAUGGAUGCAUUUCUUUAAAACACCACAAG
RNAcentral lists this long non-coding RNA (791 nucleotides) under Marmota monax (woodchuck). Lineage: Eukaryota; Metazoa; Chordata; Mammalia; Rodentia; Sciuridae. The record is from RNAcentral.